GGGGUGUGCUCAGAGCGGGGGACCUGAAGAAACGGGCCUCUGUUUACAGCACACCUGACAGCAAUCUGGGUUCAUCGCGACCAGGGGCACAAAACUUGUAGCCUUCCUAUGAACAGAUACCCUACACGU
Hippopotamus amphibius kiboko is the source of this 129-nucleotide small nucleolar RNA. RefSeq annotates it as small nucleolar RNA SNORA11. The transcript has a single exon. Lineage: Eukaryota; Metazoa; Chordata; Mammalia; Artiodactyla; Hippopotamidae. The record is from RefSeq and is a predicted model, not a curated record.